Long non-coding RNA from Seriola aureovittata, 1772 nucleotides. RefSeq lists it as uncharacterized. The transcript is spliced from 3 exons. The record is from RefSeq and is a predicted model, not a curated record. Lineage: Eukaryota; Metazoa; Chordata; Actinopteri; Carangiformes; Carangidae.
GGUUCUGUGAUGUUGCCAACUUAGUGGAUUUGUUGCUAGAUUUGGAGACUUAUAGGCAUUGCCUAUAUGGUUGGGCCAUGUAUCGGUGCAAACCGUGGGCUUAAGGCUACACCUCUUAUUACGAGGGCUGUCACCCAGCCGCCCUGGUUUCCCGGCUGUUCGGGAGCUGCAGGGAAACGGAGAAUGACCCUCCCAGCUAGCAAAACUGCACCCGUCCACGCUCGGCUCUGAAGUCAGAAGUAGGAAUCUGCAGUCUCAGCCACGAGAGCCAAGACCACAAAAGCGAACAAACCUCUCAAAUGAGGAGGAAUGUAUUCGUCAGUCAUUCAUCACAUGAUGGUGCAGGAUUGUCAGCAGCCUUCUGUCACCUCCUGAAAAUCUUCUUCCAACGCUGACUUAAACACACGCACACAAACACACACACAGUCAGUAAAUGCAGGCAGGUGAGAGCAGGGCGUUCCAUUGUGGGCGAGCCGAGGAAGCAAGGACGGUGCAUGUCCAAAAUGACAAAGGUUGCUUUUACACCUGUCAGGGCCCGUUUAAUCAUCUACCACUUCAAACAGGAGAGUCUGAUGCUCUCGGGCCUCCCAGCAGCCUUUGCUCCAGCAGCUCUGGACAAGCCACCAUUCAGUAGAGGGCCAGGAGAAACAGACCUGUGCAGGUAUAAAACUUAACUGUGUCUUCCAUAAAAUAAAAACAAAUAGGUCAAUGUUUUAGAGGCUCUAGCAGCAGGACUUGGAGGUAAUAGAUACAGGAAACAGCGUCCACUGGUGCUGUGGCUGAUUUAACUUUAUAGGACAAAUUCAGGGCUUUUCCUCAUAAACUGAUCUUGAUUGAAUUAAUGUGAUGCCUCUUGUAUGGAUUCACACAUUUAUGGUGCUGUAACCUUGUUGCUUUAUUCAUAAAUUGAGUAGUUUUUUUUUUUUCAGUUUCAUGGGGACAAAACGUUUUUGUUUGAGCUGUACAAACAAAAGUUCAAAUCUGUAUCUGAUUUUCUUUGAGGUGUAUGUGUAUGUAUAUUUAGGUGGAUAUAUAUGGAUAUUUGUGAUUGUUAUGUGUAAGCUGAUGAUUGUUAAUUAACAACAGAUUCUGGAAUAUUUAAAAAAUUUAUGCCACAUUAAAAAAGUUGUAUUUGAUAAUUACUUUCACUUUAGGAGAAACCUUCAAAUUCAUGAUCCCUAAAGAGUCUAAUGUUCAUGUCAGCAGACUCUUUAUUUAUAUUUAAUCAGUAUUUUAUUUUGAAACUUAGUGUUUCAAUGUCUUUCUUUCUUUUAGAAAAUAAUCAUUAGACCUUAAAAUAUCCUUUUAAUAUUUGUAGAGUUUUCACAAAAAUGUAUGUGUCUUUAUAGCUCUGUUAAGUAAGUGAAGUAUUUGACUGGAUUAGUUUAUAAAAUAAAAGACAAACAAAAAAAUCACUAACACCAUCAUGCAAAAAUCUCAAAAUAUGCACCAUCUAUUUAUCUACAGUCGGGGCAUGAUGGGAUGGCGUAUGACACCACUUUUAGGGUUUUUUCGUGCGUCCUAUACGCAUUGUAAACGUCGUAUAACGCUGUUUGAGAUAGGUUUAGGGGCAAUGGUUGUGUAAUGUAUAAUCGGGGGGUUGUCAGUAGAGAAAUUACGUAGUGUGACAUGACACGCGAAAAGCAAAAACUACGUAGUGAUAACGCGCAAAAUGGCUUAAGAAACUGGAGUUAUUGGUUCGCCGCUGUGUGAUACCAGACUGAAGCCAUAUAUCUAAUGUCCAUAAAAACCCGCCUGUCUCCAUUUAGGUA